UUACGCAUGCUCUACGACGGUGGCUCAGAGAGGUCAAAUUACGUCAUGGCUGAAAGCACAGGCUCUGGAUGAUCUAAACCAUGACCUGCCUUCACUGCAGUCUACCUAACUGAUUUAGAAUUGUAUUUUUAUGUUGCUGUCUCCCCAUCUCUUUCUCUUUUGGAUAAUCUUUUUUGACUAUAAUUCCACUGCCUAGCACAUAGCCUAGCAUCUGAUAGCCUCUCAAUAAACAUAGGUUGAAUGAAUGAAUGACUCCACCCCUUUUCCCCAAG
This 272-nucleotide long non-coding RNA is filed under the name Dasypus novemcinctus (nine-banded armadillo). Its description in RNAcentral is "lncRNA (ENSDNOG00000050128.1)". Lineage: Eukaryota; Metazoa; Chordata; Mammalia; Cingulata; Dasypodidae. The record is from RNAcentral.